CAUUGAAACACCUGUUCCUGUACAAUCACUGAGGUUAAGCAAUGCUGAGUCUGGUCAGUACCUAGAUAGGUGACUGCUUGGGAAUACCACAUGUUGUAA
This is a non-coding RNA of Acanthosepion pharaonis, 99 nucleotides long. Lineage: Eukaryota; Metazoa; Mollusca; Cephalopoda; Sepiida; Sepiidae. The record is from the annotation of a GenBank genome assembly.